CUGGAGCACGAUUCAUGAUUCGCACCCUUCGUUUCACCGGUCUACUACUACUAAACGCAUCCACUGUGCGCGGUAGACUGGCGGGCGAAAUUCAGCGUUGAAUCGUCUUCAGUAAAACUAAAAACCCGCGCCACUGCGCGGGUUUUUUU
RNAcentral lists this small RNA (149 nucleotides) under Enterobacter hormaechei. RNAcentral describes it as "Leu_leader". It matches the Rfam family "Leucine operon leader". From Rfam's summary of the family: At least 6 amino acid operons are known to be regulated by attenuation. In each a leader sequence of 150-200 bp is found upstream of the first gene in the operon. The record is from RNAcentral. Lineage: Bacteria; Pseudomonadati; Pseudomonadota; Gammaproteobacteria; Enterobacterales; Enterobacteriaceae.